This 403-nucleotide ribosomal RNA is filed under the name uncultured bacterium. RNAcentral describes it as "bacterial SSU rRNA". It matches the Rfam family "Bacterial small subunit ribosomal RNA", at positions 28 to 417 of the family's 1533-position model. The record is from RNAcentral.
GACGAACGCUGGCGGCGUGCUUAACACAUGCAAGUCGAGGGCACUUGCUCAGCAAUGGUCAAGUGACCGGCGAACGGGUGCGUAACACGUGAGCGACCUUGCCUCGUGGUGGGGGAUAGCCGGCCCAACGGCCGGGUAAUACCGCAUAGGGUGGUCUUUUCGCAUGGAGAGACUAGCAAAGCCCUGGAGCAAUCCAGUGGCGCCACGAGGGGGGGCUCGCGGCCUAUCAGCUAGUUGGGGGGGUAAUGGCCCACCAAGGCGACGACGGGUAGCUGGUCUGAGAGGAUGGCCAGCCACAUUGGGACUGAGAGACGGCCCAGACUCCUACGGGAGGCAGCAGUGGGGAAUCUUGCGCAAUGGGCGAAAGCCUGACGCAGCGACGCCGCGUGAGGGAUGACGGCCU